GCCUGUGACAUCAGCAUUCUAGAAAGUGGGACAGGAGGGCCUGGAGUUAGAGGCCAGUCUGGGCUAUGUAAUUUGACUAUGUCACAAAAGUAGGGAGAUAAAAGGGGAGAUGAGUGAAGAAAUGAAGGUGAAGGCUGUGUAGCAGGAUCAACCAUGUUGGCAGCUGCUCCUGGAAGCUGUAAUUUGCUGAUUUUUUUUUUCUGUAUUGUUAAAAUCUCUGCCCUGUCUGUCCUGUUCCUUAACCUCAUUCUUUGUUUCCCCCUCACGUCGGAGCUGGAUUCCCACAAGGUAGCUCAGGCUGCAGACUCUCCAGUGUUGGGCAAGUUACAGGUAAUGAAGCUACUGUUGCUUGUCCAGGCCACACUUUCAGAAGUGUUGAUCUAGCAUGCCUGCCUGAGUUUACUGGAACACAGAAACUCAGAGACAGAAAGUGGUCAACUGCCAUGGAACUGAAAGGACACAGAUUCCUGUCACCUGGUGGAUCCCAUGAGUCACCUGGUGGAUCCCAUGAGUCAUACGAUAGAUCCCAUGAGUCCUAAGCCACUGAACAGGGCCACUCCAUCGCCCUCCACUUCGUCUUUGGCUGUUGCUGUCCUGUGUGAACUCUUAAGUGAGGACUUAAAGUGCUCCCAGUGUCCUUCUGAGCUCUGCUUUGCUUUGGCUAGGCUAGCCCAGCUCACUGCAGCCCCAUGCAACAUCUCAUCCCCUCUACUAACAGCAGACUGAAGCUGUAAGAGGCAGGUGUGAACGCCACUGACAUCACCUUCCACAGAGACUACGUCCUGAGUGGGCCUCUUACUGUGCUCAAUGCCCUGUGAGUUGACCCAGCUGAAAUUGGUAAAUAAUACAGCUCUUUGCUUAUCAGAACACGCAAAGCCCUCACAAAGUGGAUUCCACGUUACUUUGCCGGGAAUGGCUGCUCCAGUUUCUGUAGAUCAGAGAUCUUGUGAAAACCUUGUGAAAUAACAUCCGGAAUACUGAAGUCCUGAAGAUGAUGAAGAUCCAGGGGUCCACUAUGGAAAUCACAGACAGGAAACGCAAGGCUUGGAGGUCUUCUGAGUCUCCUUUAGCUCUGUUCUCAAGUUUAAAGGCUCCAUAGUACGCACGAUACUGUUGGGGAGGAAAAAUCGUCACACAGAUAAAGAUAAAGAAGGCUGACAGAAGGAAGGAAUUCCAUCAUUUUAUUUGUCUUAGCCUGGAAUUCUCACCCUAUGGCUGAUGGGUGUGGAUGAGAAGCCUGAAAAGAGGAGCCUGAGAGACAUCGGGAGGCCCAUCUGACUGCCUCCCUCAGGGCUGUUCUGCAUUCUCAGGUUUCCAGGACUUUAUGAGACUACAAAGACCCCAGGCUUCCCCACACAAAAUCUUUAGCUAGUGUCCUUACAUGCAUACUUUAUUCAGUCCUGCCUACCUUAUGCCCACUGUUAUUAGUUUACUUAGCAGUGACUACCAUAUGUAUGGACACACCAGUGGAAUGGGGUUUUGAAUAGAAGUAAAAAGAUAGGAAAUAUGAUCAUUAAAAUUCAUGAGGUGACCAGAUGAACGUCCUGGCCAUCUCACAUAAACUGAUCCUUUUACUAAGGUAGAUUCUAUGUAAAAUGGGAGUAGGAGGUACCCAAAUAUAGAUGUCUACUUACCUGUGCCCAGCCUCCUUCUAUGCCUUGAUGUCACCUGGGUCCCUGCAGUUUCCUCAGAGCUCUGUGAAGUGCCUCAAAUCAUGACUCUCCCUGCUGACCUUCAGGUCACACUGCUACCUAGAUUGGCACAACUCCAGACCACCAUCUGAGGCUGGAUGCUUUUUCUUAUGGCAUUAGACUUCCCCUGCCUACUAGAUCCUAAAUCCACAAUGAAACAAAUUAACUCUAAUGGAACCCAAACUUCAGAAAUCCAAUAUUAGUGGAAUAGUUGUGGUUAAGAGCACUGAAGGCCACCCAGGAACAUGUCUCAGAAAAGAUGCACGUUCCUAGAACCAAUCUUCUUAGCCUCUGACUCCCUUCUGUGCAUCAUUUCAGAGCAUGAGGAAGUUGUUUUACAUCACACUCAUCUGAUACUGAUAUAUGUCUCUCUUUAUUCCUGCUUCAUAAUGCCAAUAGUAAUAAUACUGACUAGUGACUACUUAGACCCUCUACUUCCUUGGCAUGGUUCUAUGUCUUUUAAGGGUUCCCUGUUCUUACAAAAGGCUGUGUGUGAAGACAGUCAUUGCCUUCCUUUUACAAACCUGGAAAUGGGUUAAACAGACAAAAAGCACCGUCCUUCAGAUCAGCUUCAAAUAUUAUCCCUUUUAGGAGCCUCACUGAGAUGGUGGCUAAAGGUCUAAGCAUCCAGGUUAGAGUCCUCUCUUCAGACACAUGGCUUUUAGGGAAGAUGUGGUUUUCCUAGUUUUACAGGAAGGUCAUUGUGCCUGGUUUCCAGGAUUCUCAGGAAGUCAGAAUGAGGUGGUGUGAAGAAAGCUUCAAGAACAGGUUCUGGUAUAUUAUAAACACUUGAUAAUUAACUUGUGUAUUAUUUUCUCAACCAGAAGGUGGCCCUUUAAUCUUCCAAGUUCUCCUUUAGCCUUCACCAUUCUUUUCCCUUGUAGCCUGUGAAGAUGCAUAGGAUGUUUCUCUCAUCUUUAUCUCACUCAGGUACAGAGUGUGCUGGAUAGGGUAGGUAGGAAGAGGUCUGAUAUCUACUGUAAGGAUAUGGCUCAGACCACAACCUUAUAUUGAUUUUAAAACCAAAGAUUUCACAGAUGUAGUAUAUAUUUGUUAGUUUCCUCCUCACGGAGGAAUGUGAUGAAAUGUAAUUCCAACCAAAAUUCCAACCAUGCAAGAAAGCUUGAUAAAGGAAUGGGUCUUUUAUAAUUAAAUAAAAACUUUUUAUUCUUUUGC
Molecule: long non-coding RNA, 2867 nt
Filed under: Mus musculus (house mouse)
Lineage: Eukaryota; Metazoa; Chordata; Mammalia; Rodentia; Muridae
Description: predicted gene 17173
Source: RNAcentral